This 560-nucleotide ribosomal RNA is filed under the name uncultured Actinomycetes bacterium. RNAcentral describes it as "bacterial SSU rRNA". It matches the Rfam family "Bacterial small subunit ribosomal RNA", at positions 94 to 669 of the family's 1533-position model. The record is from RNAcentral. Lineage: Bacteria; Bacillati; Actinomycetota; Actinomycetes.
AGUGGCGAACGGGUGAGUAACACGUGGGUGAUCUGCCCUGUACUUUGGGAUAAGCCUGGGAAACUGGGUCUAAUACCGAAUAUGACCACUUCUUGGAUGGGGUGGUGGAAAGCUUUUGCGGUAUGGGAUGAGCUCGCGGCCUAUCAGCUUGUUGGUGGGGUAAUGGCCUACCAAGGCGUCGACGGGUAGCCGGCCUGAGAGGGUGUACGGCCACAUUGGGACUGAGAUACGGCCCAGACUCCUACGGGAGGCAGCAGUGGGGAAUAUUGCACAAUGGGCGCAAGCCUGAUGCAGCGACGCCGCGUGGGGGAUGACGGCCCUCGGGUUGUAAACUCCUUUCGCAACCGACGAAGCUUUUGUGACGGUAGGUUGAGAAGAAGCACCGGCUAACUACGUGCCAGCAGCCGCGGUAAUACGUAGGGUGCGAGCGUUGUCCGGAAUUACUGGGCGUAAAGAGCUCGUAGGUGGUUUGUCGCGUCGUUUGUGGAAUACCGCAGCUUAACUGCGGGGUUGCAGGCGAUACGGGCAUAACUUGAGUGCUGUAGGGGAGACUGGAAUUC